ACCCAGCCCACGGUUUAAGGACCUUGAACUGCAGUCUCAGAAUCCCACAGCAAACCCAACCCAACAUUGUCUGGAGCAUCCAGACACAUUUGCAGACAUUUGCCUUUCCAAGCUGCACGCAUGGUAUAGCUCACACGGAUGAUCUGGAAACACUCUUACAAACUCUCCUCAUAGCUGGAAGUGAAUGGAAACAAAAGAAAAUAAAUCUUUCUCAAGAAAAACUAUGCUGUUCCAUCUGCUAAGGAGCACUUUGCUCCUUAUGGCUAGUUAAAAUACUGUGUAGUCCUUUACAAAGACUUUUGCAGAUGAUGUUAUAUCACUUUAUACUGCCUCUGCAGUAAUGUUUUCCAAACUCAGCUGCCCAUAAAUUCUAAAAUAAUUCUUAACUGCACAAAUAUUUUAAUCUGUGUAAACACUUAAUUUGACAUAAGUGAAAAGGUGUGCAUCCAGCUAGAACUAUUGCAAUAUACUUGGAUUCCUGACUAGGCUCAGUUUCCUCUCAAGUAAAUAAACUUUCAUAGUCCAUCACUGCAAUAACAGUUUAAAAAUGUCUAAAGUUUAUGCCUUACAUGGGCCUCUAAAAAAUAUCAAAACAUUCAAAGGUUCAGACAUUUAUACUUUGGCAAUUAAUGUUGCAAUUAUAUUGCAUUGUAUCUUACUAUAUUAUGCAUCUCAAAUAUAACUUGGGACGUACCUUCAAUGUUUAUUUUUGUAUGCCUGUUUUAGUUUUCUGUGUUGCAUAACAUUUUCUUUUCCUUCCUGCUUUUCAUCUACUUUUUGUUCCCCAGUAACUGAUGCACUGCUGUUUGUCUUGGGUUGCAAUAGAGGAUGUGACCAGAAAUGUGUAUUCUAUCACCAUCUGUGGAAGCCCGGUGGGGUAGUGACUCUUAUCUCCAUGGCACAUACUAUCUGCUAAUGGUCCAUCUUUAAGACAGGGUGGGGCAAUCAUCUUUAUCUUUUCCACAACCCAUCCUCCCUUCAGGAAGACAUCAUCUGCUGCUGACCCAUUAAAUCCCACUGUAUGACUGAUAAAAUUACAUCAUCCCAUUGGGAGAUGCUCCAGCCAGGGGAAGGAGCUGAGCCUUUCCUACUUAGAUAAAAUCUGAGAUUUUGAACAGCAAAUUAUCCAUCUUUCCACUGGAUUCCAGAGGAAAACCUGAGCUUUCCACAUCAUCCCUGGACCUUCAGAGGAAAACUGCACCUUCUACAGGAGCACUGCUUCAGCUGAACCACACCUGCCCCCCCCCCCCCCCCCCCCCCCCCCCCCCCCCCC
This 1273-nucleotide long non-coding RNA is filed under the name Ficedula albicollis (Collared flycatcher). RNAcentral describes it as "lncRNA (ENSFALG00000025875.1)". Lineage: Eukaryota; Metazoa; Chordata; Aves; Passeriformes; Muscicapidae. The record is from RNAcentral.